Molecule: ribosomal RNA, 370 nt
Filed under: uncultured organism
Description: bacterial SSU rRNA
Rfam family: Bacterial small subunit ribosomal RNA
Source: RNAcentral
CGAGAGGCCCAAACGUUAUUCGGAUUUACUGGGCUUAAAGAGUUCGUAGGCGGCGCAGAAAGUAGGGUGUGAAAGCCCUCGGCUCAACCGAGGAAUUGCGCUCUAAACUACUGUGCUCGAGGGACCUAGAGGUGAGCAGAACUGAUGGUGGAGCGGUGAAAUGCGUUGAUAUCAUCAGGAAUACCGGAGGCGAAGGCGGCUCACUGGGGGUCUUCUGACGCUGAGGAACGAAAGCCAGGGGAGCGAACGGGAUUAGAUACCCCGGUAGUCCUGGCCGUAAACGAUGAGCACUAGGCCGGAGGGCUGCACAGCCUUUCGGCCGUAGCUAAAGUGUUAAGUGCUCCGCCUGGGGAGUAUGGUCGCAAGGCUG